This is a long non-coding RNA of Neofelis nebulosa (Clouded leopard), 1270 nucleotides long. RefSeq lists it as uncharacterized. NCBI's taxonomy places the organism in Eukaryota, Metazoa, Chordata, Mammalia, Carnivora, Felidae. The record is from RefSeq and is a predicted model, not a curated record. The transcript has 2 exons.
CCGACCGCUUGGGUCUCACCGAAGGGUUGUCUUACCCCCUCCCUGGGGAAGCCCCGGGGAGACGGCCCUGCCUGGUAGGGCAGGCCAGUGGGAGGGAGGGGGCAAGGGCAGGUUAAAAGUAUAAACACAGACGUGGUGGGUUCCCAGCUCAGUGUCAGGUGAGUGAUCUUGGGCGAGUCUCUUAACCUGUCUGAGCCUUGGCUUCCUGGCCUGUGACAUGGAGUCAAUGAUAGAACCUUCCUCACUGGGUUGUUGGGAGACUGGGUGAGACAAUGCCUGUGAAGGGUCUAACACGGUGCCUGGCAGAUUGCAAACAGUCAAUGAGAGGGAGCUGCUACGAUUAUUUAUUAGGAGAGAGCGAGCUCCGUGCUCAGACGGCUCCAGUCUGUGAAUGAGGGGGAGGGGAUCUCAUCCUUCCUAAAUGUCUCGGAUGUGGCCUGCCAGGAAGACAGGCCAGGUCACAAGUGAGAGCCACCCGGUCCCUGGGAGUACAGGGAUCAGACCCGCAGGUGAGGAUUCUGGGGCCACGGCACCUACUGUCCCUACCAACUCCAUUGAAAAGCGCUAGGAAGAAUUUGCAGAAAGUUCUAGUGUAGCGCCUGGACUGCCUUGCGUCUCAGGCAUUUGCUCACUGGCAUUCCCUGCGUCUGUUCAGACAGAGCUUCUCUUUAUUUUUAUUUUUUUGUAGUUUUUGCUUUUGGCUAAGGACUUGCCGUGGGCCACCGAACUUGGAAUCAACUCUGGCUGUGCCUUUGGCUGCCUGGGUGAACUUGGGCUGCUCAUUUCACCUGUCAGCCUCACCAACCACAACUGAGAGCUUUGAGGACAAAGCCAGGUUACAGAAGUAAACUCUAAGUAGUGGAGGCGUCACAGGUAAUGAGGUGAUGGAUGGGCUAAUGCAUUCACUGGGUGUGUGUGUGUGUGUGUGUGUGUGUGUGUGUGUGUGUGUAUUUGAGAGGGAGAGUCCCAGUGUUCCUGGAGUAAGUAGAGACAGGUAUCACCACAAGAGGGCGCUCUGGGCCUUUUGUCUUCUGGGCUUUGAUUGAAAAGUUUCAUUUUUCUGUGGUUGCUUUCCAAAUGGAACUAAGAUUUAUGGUUUUUAGUUUCUCUAACUGAUUUAAUAAACUGUUAAAAUAAAUUCACGUCCGUUCAUUAGUUUAUCCAUUAGGUAGAUGCCCUAUCGUGGCCCCUGCCACAGGGCACCCUGGGAAGUGGGGUGAGGGGCAGGGGUGAGGACCGGGAGAAGCAUGUACUUUAUGGCGACCUGGUU